RNAcentral lists this ribosomal RNA (465 nucleotides) under uncultured Lactococcus sp. RNAcentral describes it as "bacterial SSU rRNA". It matches the Rfam family "Bacterial small subunit ribosomal RNA", at positions 338 to 795 of the family's 1533-position model. The record is from RNAcentral. Lineage: Bacteria; Bacillati; Bacillota; Bacilli; Lactobacillales; Streptococcaceae.
CCUACGGGAGGCAGCAGUAGGGAAUCUUCGGCAAUGGACGAAAGUCUGACCGAGCAACGCCGCGUGAGUGAAGAAUGUUUUCGGAUCGUAAAACUCUGUUGGUAGAGAAGAACGUUGGUGAGAGUGGAAAGCUCAUCAAGUGACGGUAACUACCCAGAAACGGACGGCUAACUACGUGCAAGCAGCCGCUGUCAUACGUAGGUACCGAGCGAUGACCAGACUAAUUGGGCGUAAAGCGGGCGCAGGUGGUUUAUUAAGUGUGGUGUAAAAGGCAGUGUCUCAACCAUUUUAUGCAUUGGAAACUGGUAGACUUGAGUGCAGGAGGGGAGAGUGGAAUUCCAUGUGUAGCGGUGAAAUGCGGAGAUAUAUGGAGGAACACCGGUGGCGAAAGCGGCUCUCUGGCCUGUAACUGACACUGAGGCUCGAAAGCGUGGGGAGCAAACAGGAUUAGAUACCCUGGUAGUC